UCUAACAUUUUCCUAUAAAUAGAGGGUUAAGUUAGAAUUGAAAAUCACACCAGAAACAAAGUUUUCUCUCUUUCUCUCUCUAUAUUAUCGAGCGUAUUCUUGUGAGUAUACUUUGAGUGUUGCUAUACGGUGCGAGUUUCUAUCAGCACUAUACCGAAAUUCAGUCAAAAGUACGGUUAUUUUGAGGUAAGGGAUAUUAUUUUCUUCUUAAAUGAUAUUUUUCUUCAAUAUCAUUCUGCCGAAGUAUUGGUGAACUUUUUAAUCAAAUUUGGAACUUGUUGUGUCGGGGUUACUAUUCACGUAUACGGAACUAUUCACGAAUACGGCACUAUUCACCGAAAAAUGAAAAUUUUCCUUUUUGUCCAAGAUGUCUAUUUUGGCUACUAUCUUUGAUUGUAUCCAUGUUUUGAUCGUUAUUUUUGAGUUCUGCUUCAAAAUCGUUUAUUAUGAAGUAUUAUUGAUUUUGGAUAAACUGUCAAACGAAUACCUAAUAUUUGUCCUUCUAUCUCACUGGAUUCGUUCUUAAAAAAAUGUUUUUCAUGAUCCUCGGUCCUUAAUUGUGAUACUUGAUGAAUAUCUUUGGCCUGUAGUGCAAAGAUGAAUGAUUAAACUGAUGAAUCUCUUUGGCCCGUAGUGCAAAGAUGAACAGGUGUUGAUAUGAACAUGACCAACUGGUGAUACAAAUGAAUAUCUUUUGCCUGUAGUGCAAAGAUGAUUAAAGAUGUAUAUUGAUUGUUGUUACAGGGAUGAAAUAUUGAUGAUGGACUUUUAAACCUUAGACGACAGUAGAAUUCAUUCUCUACGUGACUCUUCUAAUGGAUUGCUGUUUCCGCUGCAUUUGUUGAUCUAAAACUUGUUGUCUAUUGUAUUCUAUUAGAUUUUUCCCUGUUGAAGACUAACGAUAAUUUGUUGUAUAUUAUCUUAGUCAUAAUAUUCUUUACUGGGCUAGUUGAGCUCACCCUUUUCCUUUUUGUUCCAUUUUUCUUCUCAGGAGGUGAGAACAUAGCAGGAUCGAGUCGGGGUAUGGAGUGAUGGUUCUAGGAAGAUGUUUUAGCUGUCCUCACUAUUUCUGUAAAAUAGUGUAUGAAUAAUUAAUGAGGACUUAUUUGGGUGUG
Molecule: long non-coding RNA, 1115 nt
Filed under: Panax ginseng (ginseng)
Lineage: Eukaryota; Viridiplantae; Streptophyta; Magnoliopsida; Apiales; Araliaceae
Description: long non-coding RNA (PGIN_LNC012302)
Source: RNAcentral